AGGAUUUCAGUUCUACUGUUAAAUCACUGAAAAGCAGGCAUUCUGAAGAAAGAGCAGGAGUCAGCACAUCUUAGCUGAGGCUUGGAACCCAGUCUUCGGAAUUAAAUGGCUAGCUUCUUAAAACCCUGCCACAAGCAACAGUGCCAGUGUAAAGAUGCCAUGAGAGUGUGAGAGCUGGAGGAUGGGAAAGAAUGCUGUGAAAUGCUCUCUUCUGAACAUGCUACACCUACCACACCCAUGAACUCACUCAUGAACUCAGCAGCCGGGAAGACCAGCACAAGACCUACACAUGAACAAGCCAGUCAAACUUCCAGCACAGGCAGGAUGGUGGACUGCCACACCCCACCCCUUACUGAGAAGGCAAUGGCAGCUCAUACUUGCUAGGGGUGGGGAUAAUCUUUUUCAUGUGGAUGUGGUCAUGGGUAGACUCUCCUUGUUCCCAGAGAAGAUUCCACACUCACGCCUAUAGAAACAGCAUUAACUGGACUUUGUGAGCUAUAAAAAAUUAAAAAGGAAUAACAAAAAAAAACAGAUAAAGUUGGGAUAGAAAUGUGUUGAAGAGGAUAUGGGCAGAGUUGGAGGAGGUAAUAGAGGGUAAAUAUGACAUAUUUCAUUGUAUGUUUAUAUAAAAUUCUCAACAACAAACAAUUUUUUUAAGACUUAACGUUUCUGCCAGACUUUGUCGACUCCUCAUGGAAGGCCUUACCCAGUUGGGAGGAGUGGAUGGGGGGUGGACUUGGGGGGAAGCAAGGGGGAUGGGAGAAGGGGUGGAGGGAGAACUGUGGUUAGAUUGUAAAACAAAAUUUAAAAAAUAAAUGAUUAAAGACUUAACAUUUCAGAGAAAUUCUAAAACUGACCUGAGGGAAACCUCAAGCUUUUAGUUUUCUCAC
This 890-nucleotide long non-coding RNA is filed under the name Cricetulus griseus (Chinese hamster). Its description in RNAcentral is "lncRNA (ENSCGRG00015038632.1)". The record is from RNAcentral. Lineage: Eukaryota; Metazoa; Chordata; Mammalia; Rodentia; Cricetidae.